RNAcentral lists this ribosomal RNA (2004 nucleotides) under Ceratomyxa ayami. RNAcentral describes it as "partial 18S ribosomal RNA". It matches the Rfam family "Eukaryotic small subunit ribosomal RNA". The record is from RNAcentral. Lineage: Eukaryota; Metazoa; Cnidaria; Myxozoa; Bivalvulida; Ceratomyxidae.
ACCUGGUUGAUUCUGCCAGGGGUCAUAUGCUCGUUUCAAAGACUAAGCCAUGCAUGUCUGGGUUCAAAACAAGAGUUGAAACUGCGAAGGGCUCAGUAAAUCAGUUAUAGUCACUUCAAGAAUCGAACCUACGGAUAACUGCGGGAAAGCUGCAGCUAAUACGUAAACAACCCAGCGGCCAUCGCUGGCUGGGUGCAUUUGUUGGCCAAGUAUUUUUGAGUCUUCGAGCAAUACUGGGCCGUGAGUAAGAGCAAAUGCAAAACCCCCCGUUUUAGAAGGGGGAGUGGCUUGAUGGAAUUUCUGCCCCAUCAUCUUGUUGGCACGGUAGUGGCGAGCCAAUGAAGGCACGGGUAACGGGGAAUCUGGGUUCGAUUCCGGAGAGGGAGCCUGAGAAAUAGCUACCACAUCCAAGGACGGCAGCAGGCGCGCAAAUUACCCAAUCUCAACGCUAGGAGGUAGUGACGAGAAAUUCAACAAGCCGAAACCUCCUCGAGAUAUCGACUAGAAUGAAUGUAACAUAGAGCCGUCAAUGAUGAGCUACUGGAGGGCAAGCCUGGUGCCAGCAGCCGCGGUAAUUCCAGCUCCAGUAGUGUAUAUCAGCAUUGUUGCGCUUAAAAAGCUCGUAGUUGGAUUUUAUGGCAGCCGCCAGGAGUGGGCGGGUCGAUAGUUGGGUUCUUUACAGUUUCUCCCUGACUUGGCCCGCCUAUUUUAUAUUUUUUUAUAUUCUACAGUUGCCCGUGGGUGUUGCGGCUAGGGUUUCUGAUUAAAUUUACCUAGUUUGGGCGCGGCUAGAUGUGGAAAGAUGUAGAAUCGAGUGCGACUGUCAGCAAUUGCCGGGUCGACAAAAAUAUUUUUUUUGAGAUGCCGGCGAACCGACGCCAUGAGUAAAACGUAGUGUUUCUAGGCGGGCAAAGCCCGAGUGUAGUAGCAUGGGACAUGAUUUUGGGGAUUGGUGCCAUAAAUUGGAGGGGAGUGUAUUUUUUAAAUUAUUGCUCCCCACCAAAACUCGGCACCAGAAAACUCAAGUUAAUACAAACACCGGGGGGCAACGGGACUUUGUGGCGAGAGGUUAUAUUCAUAGACCCACGAAUGACCGCCAAAGGCGAAAGCAUUUGCCAAGAGUGUCUUGAUUAAUAAAGAACGAAGGUUUGAGGAUCCAAGACGAUUAGAUACCGUCGUAGUUUUUACAGAAAACGCUGCCAGCGAAGGCCUAGGGCAGUACUUUGCCCCAGGAGCUACGGUAGAUUGACUACUAUAAACAAACUGACUACCCUAGGCCUGAAGGGUAACCUAGAGCCGUGGGCUGCUGGGAGAAUAUCGCUGCAAGGCUGAAAUUUAAAGAAAUUGACGGAGAGGCACCACCAGGAGUGGAGCUUGCGGCUUAAUUCGACUCAACACGGGCAAACUGACCAGGUCCUGACAUGUGGAGGAGCGACUGGCUGGCGGCUAUUCGUGAUUAUAUGUGUGGUGGUGCAUGGCCGUUCUUAGUUGGUGAAGUGAUUUGUCAGGUCUGUUCCGGUAACGAGCGAGACCGCGUCUGAAUAUUAUGUAAUUUGUUUGUGGCGGUGAUUCUGCGAGAAAAAUAUUUUUAUAUUUUUUAUGUGCCGUGUUUGAGUGGGUAUAUUUUUUAUUUUGAUUCGGCCGGCUUUGGACGGGGUAGGUUUUUUUUUAUUUUUAACUUGGCCGUAUAUCGCAGGCACAUUAAAAUAAAAAAUUCCAUCUAUCGAGAAUUCCCCGGCCAAACGCCAAAGUUAUAAAUUUUGGGACUACCGGCGGGAAGCCGAGGGGAAGUGCGGCUAUAACAGGUCUGUGAUGCCCUUAGAUGUCCUGGGUUGCACGCGAGCUACAAUGGCGGCAGGAGAAGGCGACUAGUUGUAAAAAAUUGGCAAAACCUGAAAUGCCGUCGUAAUGGGGACCAAGCCUUGUAAUUGUGGCUGGCGAAAGUGGAAUCCCUUGUAAACGCCGGUGACUAGCCGGCGUUGAAUACGUCUCUGCCUCUUGUAC